GCUGGGCAUGGUGGUGCAUGCCUGUAAUCCCAGCUACCUGGGAGGCUGAGUCAGGAGAAUAGCUUGAACCCAGGAGGUAGAGGUUGCAGUGAGCCAAGAUCGUGCCACUGCACUCUAGCCUGGGUGACAGAGUGAGACUCCGUCUCAA
Pongo abelii (Sumatran orangutan) is the source of this 148-nucleotide unclassified non-coding RNA. It matches the Rfam family "Metazoan signal recognition particle RNA". From Rfam's summary of the family: The signal recognition particle (SRP) is a universally conserved ribonucleoprotein. It is involved in the co-translational targeting of proteins to membranes. The eukaryotic SRP consists of a 300-nucleotide 7S RNA and six proteins: SRPs 72, 68, 54, 19, 14, and 9. The record is from Ensembl. NCBI's taxonomy places the organism in Eukaryota, Metazoa, Chordata, Mammalia, Primates, Hominidae.